This 491-nucleotide ribosomal RNA is filed under the name uncultured bacterium. Its description in RNAcentral is "bacterial SSU rRNA". It matches the Rfam family "Bacterial small subunit ribosomal RNA", at positions 22 to 507 of the family's 1533-position model. The record is from RNAcentral.
GCUCAGGAUGAACGCUAGCUACAGGCUUAACACAUGCAAGUCGAGGGCAGCACUAGGUAGCAAUACUGAGGUGGCGACCGGCGCACGGGUGCGUAACGCGUAUCCAACUUUCCCGUUACUCUCGGAUAGCCUUCCGAAAGGGAGAUUAAUACGAGAUGGUGUUCAGUUUCCGCAUGUUUACUGAACUAAAGAUUCAUCGGUAACGGAUAGGGAUGCGUGACAUUAGAUAGUUGGCGGGGUAACGGCCCACCAAGUCUACGAUGUCUAGGGGUUCUGAGAGGAAGGUCCCCCACACUGGAACUGAGACACGGUCCAGACUCCUACGGGAGGCAGCAGUGAGGAAUAUUGGUCAAUGGGCGCAGGCCUGAACCAGCCAAGUAGCGUGAAGGAUGAAGGUUCUAUGGAUUGUAAACUUCUUUUAUACGGGAAUAACAUCACCUACGUGUAGGUGCCUGCAUGUACCGUAUGAAUAAGCAUCGGCUAACUCCGUG